This is a long non-coding RNA of Humulus lupulus (European hop), 208 nucleotides long. RefSeq lists it as uncharacterized. Lineage: Eukaryota; Viridiplantae; Streptophyta; Magnoliopsida; Rosales; Cannabaceae. The record is from RefSeq and is a predicted model, not a curated record. The transcript is spliced from 2 exons.
AGGUUGUUCGUUGGGGACGCUCCGUCUAUGCAAAUAUUCAUAAAUUUAUUCAAUUCCAGCUCACUGUUAAUGUUGCUGCACUUGUAAUAAAUGUUGUGGCUGCUGUGUCCUCUGGUGAUGUCCCUCUAAAUGCAGUGCAGCUUUUAUGGGUUAACCUGAUAAUGGAUACUCUUGGAGCACUUGCUUUGGCUACUGAACCUCCUACAGA